Molecule: ribosomal RNA, 254 nt
Filed under: uncultured bacterium
Lineage: Bacteria
Description: partial 16S ribosomal RNA
Rfam family: Bacterial small subunit ribosomal RNA
Source: RNAcentral
UACGUAGGGGCCUAGCGUUGUCCGGAAUUAUUGGGCGUAAAGAGCUCGUAGGCGGUUCGGCAAGUCGGAUGUGAAAUCUCCACGCUCAACGUGGAGGGGCCAUUCGAAACUGCCGUGACUCGAGUCCGGUAGGGGAGUGUGGAAUUCCCGGUGUAGCGGUGAAAUGCAUAGAUAUCGUCAAGAACACCGAUAGCGAAGGCAGCUUACUGGGCUGUAACUGACGCUGAGGCACGAAAGUGUGGGGAUCAAACAGG